AGGUGCGAUCAUACCAGCACUAAUUGACCGGAUCCGACGAGAGUAGUACAAGGAUGGGUGACCUCCUGGGAAGUCCUCGUGUUGCACCUC
Molecule: ribosomal RNA, 90 nt
Filed under: Vigna angularis (adzuki bean)
Lineage: Eukaryota; Viridiplantae; Streptophyta; Magnoliopsida; Fabales; Fabaceae
Source: RNAcentral